ACCGUUUCUUGGUCUUUUGGCUAAGAUCAGGUGUAGUAUCUGUUCUUACCAGUUUAAGAUACCAAGAAGAUUCUGCUACGCACGGUCUCCGUGUUGGUUAAGUCCGCACCAUCC
This 114-nucleotide small nuclear RNA is filed under the name Fukomys damarensis (Damara mole-rat). RNAcentral's name for it is "U2 spliceosomal RNA". It matches the Rfam family "U2 spliceosomal RNA". From Rfam's summary of the family: U2 is a small nuclear RNA (snRNA) component of the spliceosome (involved in pre-mRNA splicing). Complementary binding between U2 snRNA (in an area lying towards the 5' end but 3' to hairpin I) and the branchpoint sequence (BPS) of the intron results the bulging out of an unpaired adenosine, on the BPS, which initiates a nucleophilic attack at the intronic 5' splice site, thus starting the first of two transesterification reactions that mediate splicing. The record is from Rfam by way of RNAcentral. Lineage: Eukaryota; Metazoa; Chordata; Mammalia; Rodentia; Bathyergidae.